AGGGCUGCAUGAAGAAGGUGCAGGACUGGCUGCAGGAGAACGUGGGCAUCAUCCUAGGCGUGUGUGUGGGCGUCGCUGUCAUCGAGCUCCUGGGGAUGCUCCUGUCCAUCUGCUUGUGCCGGCACAUCCAUUCUGAAGACUACAGCAAGGUCCCCAAGUACUGAGGCGGCUGCUGUCCCCCACCUCCCUGCCUGUCCCCUCGCCUCAGGGCUCCUUAGGGUCUCCAGGCUCUGCUCCAGGCUCACCUCCCACCUUACUCCCCCAUGCCCGUCCUGUGCUGGCUGGAGGCGGGGGGCAGGGGAGCUUUCUGCGGCCUGGACCCCUCUCCCUACAUUUCUGCCCCAGCUCUUCUGUGGCUCCUUCGCUAUCGCCCGCCGGGAUUCUCUUAGCCACGCAGAGAGAACGCUCCCACGGCGUCCCUGAGCAGGUGGGCUGGGUCUCGGCCUGCCUUGGAGCUGUGUAUAUGGGGCGGAGAAAAGUGUACUCAACAUUGGGGGUGGGGGGGGGUGGAUAAGGCACCCUGGGCUGUCAGGGGACUGCCCACUGCGUGGGUAAACAUUUUUUUCCACUGUAAUGCUUAUGUCUUUGGUUUUCACAUUUUCACUGAAGGUAGUGGGAGAGGGUGGGCUUUACCUGACAUUAUUAGGAGCAGCAGCCUUCCCCAGGCCAGCUCAGAUCAACCGAGGAUGAUGCCAUAAGCCGGGCUGAAGAGGGGCCCUCUGGGCCAGGGAAUCUGGACUGGCUCUGGGCUGCUUAGGGAAUCGGGGGUGAACCCUGGGGGCCCCGACACAGAGGGGGUCCUGCAUUCGCCAGGAUCCCGAGCUGUCCAGGGAAGGGGAAGGACGCUUUCCCCUGGGAGAAGCUAGGUGGGUCUGUCCUUUGCCCCCUAGGGAAUGGGUGGGUGAAUCUGUGCCUUGGAGUAGGGAGGGGCUCUGUGCACAGUUCUGUAAAACAUGUCUGAGAUUUGACAACUAACUAUUAAAGAGGAUUUGUAACAAUCCA
This is a non-coding RNA of Leptonychotes weddellii (Weddell seal), 1002 nucleotides long. The record is from RefSeq and is a predicted model, not a curated record. NCBI's taxonomy places the organism in Eukaryota, Metazoa, Chordata, Mammalia, Carnivora, Phocidae.